GUACCUUCAAAGUGACAACACACGGGCCCUAGUUUAUGACAACUCAGGACUCAGAGACGGAGCUUCUGACUGGGAUGUAUAUUCAGCCACAGGAUUGAACUAGACAGUCAUCUGACUACAUUCAGGAAAGUUUUAAAUAGCUUGUCAGUUUAUCCCACAGAGCCUAACAGUGUAAACGGCCAACCUGAUACCAGACCUGUGAACACCAUCUGAGGGUGAGCAGGUAGGUUAUUGACCAAUAGUCCUCCAGCACUGGACAAUUUAAGACAACCCGAGCAUAUCCUCAAGGACAGCAAUGCUGACUGCAUUGCAUCAUGAUCACACCCAGCUCCUACCAGCAAGAAGAACAUCGGCAACUGCUCGUGGAAACAAAACUCCACAAGUCUACUUUUGAGGCAGCUCAAGUUCCUUUCUUAAUGGGCCAAGUAGAGGCUGGCCAACACCCUUGGACACACCUGACCUGCAGCAUCCUGGUGACAUCUCAGAAUGGCUGCAAGUGGACUUACCGGUGUUUUCUCUUCUUCUUCCUUGGAGGAGUAUCGACAUCCUCAGCGGGAACUGGAGCUAUGAUGCUGGACUCUUUGACCCGAAACUCAUACACCUGGACAAGAGGCACAGUCACAGCUGUGGGGAUCAUAGUGGUAUAACUGAUUUGAAAUAAUGGGUGAAGCCAGACCAAGCUUUGAACAAAGAAAAUUUAUCCUACCCGGCUGGUGUGGCUCAGUGGUUGAGCAUCAACCCAGGAACCAAGAAGUCACCAGUUCAAUUCCUGGUCAGGGCACAUGCCUGGGGUUCUGGGCUCAAUCCCCUGUAGAGGGCGUGUAGGAGGCAGCCCAUCUCUUUCCCCCUCUCCCUUCCUCUCUCUCUAAUAUCAAUAAAAACAUCAUUUUUUUAAAAUGUAUCUUAAAGUGCCACAAGAUUUUAAAAGAUAAAAGCUUAUGGUACAAGACCAGCAACAGUCAACGAAUAGAGAGCACACAAAUACUGAAGAAAUUAUUCUUGAGGUUUAGGAUUCCAUUGCUUUGCAUUAUCAGCAGUGCCUGGACCAGAAUGGUCAUCAGUUUGAAAACAGGCAUAACAACAACAACAAAAAAACUAUUCGUUUCUGUAGAUUCUUUAAGAUUUAAAAAAUUAACUGUACGUUAAUAAAGACUAACUUUAUAAUCAUUCCAAGUGUGUAUACUUUUUUGGGGACACAUUGUAUACUGAGUAGCCCUUACAAUCUUAUAAUGUUUCAACAAGUAAGUGAUGCCUCAAAUACAGAACUGGUGAAUCCAAGGAUCAGCACUGGAACAAACGUUAGUGAUCACCUGUUUCCAGGGAGUUUUACAAAUCAGGAAACAGGAACAAAGGCAAUAAUUUGUGCAAGUAGUUGUUUGGCAGCAGGUGUGACCAGACACACACUCCUCACUGCAUGGACAAAGAGAACAGCUUCACAUCAGACACCACUUCCCUGAAAUACUCACUUCUUCAGCUUGCUGUCAUGUGACAAAUGAUCAGAUCAGUACAAAUUAUCAGUUUUAUACAUUAACUUCUGCUCAAAAUACUGCUGUUGUCUGCUCUGAUUAGAGCUUGGUACUAAGAAUGAAUUCUUACUAAAUACUUACAUAUGGAAUCACAUAAAUUCUUUCGUGUAUAUGACAGAUAUCAGACUUUUACUAAAAAGUCCCUCACAGAACAACAAUGCCAACAUUCAAGCAUGGGAAAGCAGUGACAGCAGCAAACAGAAUUCUGUGUUCAAAAGCACACACUAGGAAGCUUUGGGCAUUAUCUCAUUUAAUUCUCACAAAAUGCCCAGGUAUUAGGAUCCUCAUCCCCAUUUCACAGACGAGGAAAACAGACUUAGGGAGGUUUAGUCACUGAGAAUUACACAGCAAAUAUGAACCCAAGUAUGUCUGAAGUUUUUUAACUAUUACACAGCAAAAAUACUAAAAAAAAAGUCAGCCAUCAAUUAUAAACUUGAAAUACCUUCUUUGAUAU
Molecule: long non-coding RNA, 1980 nt
Organism: Myotis daubentonii (Daubenton's bat)
Lineage: Eukaryota; Metazoa; Chordata; Mammalia; Chiroptera; Vespertilionidae
Source: RefSeq, a predicted model, not a curated record